Long non-coding RNA from Oryzias sinensis (Chinese medaka), 1745 nucleotides. Lineage: Eukaryota; Metazoa; Chordata; Actinopteri; Beloniformes; Adrianichthyidae. The record is from Ensembl.
AUGACAACAAGGCUUUAUGCAUAUGUACUCCAAAGUGGCAGGGAGAGUUCUGUCAGACUAACGUCUUUAACUCAAUCGCCUCAUCCAGUACGUCUUAUUUUAACUACAGAGACUUUUUCAGAACAAAAAAUGGUCAACAUGUAUCUUUCUGUCACUACAUUUUGCUCUAAUCGUUGCCUGAUCCUCCCUAUGGCAGUUGGAAUUGCCAUCGGGGUGACCAUACUGGUUGUGGCCCUGUUGGUUGCUCUGGUCUUUGCUGCCAGGCGGAAGUCAAACCUUGUGGAGAGACUGCGGAGCAACUUACCCAGCAUGCCCAGUAUGCCACAAAUGCCUAAGUUCUCUGGCCUCAGGAAUGGAGUCCCUGGAAAUGGUUUGCAAACAGAAGACAGUGAAACACUGGAGAACUCUGAGGCGGUUCCCUGUACGUCAGUGUGGACUGUUGACCCCGUGACAAAAAGCUUUGAGAACCCUGCAUAUGAGGCAGAAGAACCCCCGGCCUCCAACAGCAUCCCGGGAAGCAAGUCGGCUCCUCCAGACACAAACGAGGUCAAUAGGCAGGAAUUUCUGCUUGCUUUAACGCUCAAUGCUGCUUACAUUCUCACUCAGAGCAACAUUCCUACUAUAUUUACCCAUGUAAACCCUCACAAUGCAAAAAUAUUUUUUAAUCCAUACAUUUUCUGCACAAAUGCAAAUAUUACCUAGAGUUUCUAAAUCCUAUUUUUUAAUCAAUUAGGACAACAUUAACAAUCCUCUAUAUGUGGAGGAGGCUCCACCUGUGGAUGAUCCGACCCUAAAUGCAGCAAAAUCCAGCCAGGUUGGUUUCUGCAAGUUUGACAAAACACGUUGAUUGAAAUGUCUUAGAUAUUAGACAUUUAGUGAUCUUGUAGCAUUUUCAGGAUGUUUCAGAGAACCGAGCACAUGGUUUAGCCUUUGAAGGUGUCACUACUACUCCACCUGCAGCACCAGCCUCACAGGUAACCAUGGAGAUACAUAUAAAUGUUGAAACAGUUUUUCUUUUUUCUUAAAAGAUACCUUUUAUAGUUGCACAUAUUUCUUAAUGAAACUUUUGCUUUUUAACCAGGAAAUAAAAGUUGUUGCAGGUGGAAAGUUAGCAUCUUUUCAAAACCCCCUGUAUAAGGUGAGUGAAGGCAUAAAUUACAGACGUAAAGUCCUAAAACAGUUUUUUUAAUCUCAAAUGUUUCAUAACGUCUCCAUAUAUCUGCUUUACAUUUAUUUGUAUUUAUUGUCAUGGUGUUACAGGAAUCUGAAGAUGCUCACCGUUCUGAUUCAGACAUUUGACGGGACCGGUUCACCAGGAUUUAGACAGAGCCAUCACACUGACUCAUUCAUUUUUUUACAGGAUCCUGUUAAAACUCGAUGAAGGGCUUCAUAAAACUGAACCUAAAUUAACCAAAACACUUUGUAGUACAGGAAAAUGCAGUAUUCUGACACUUUGAGAUGUAACCUAAAACUUUGUAUGGAUUGUAUUGUAAAAAUAAAUAAAUGAUAAUCUUGAUUUGAUAUACUAUUCAUUCUUAAUGCAUUAAAGUCAAUGAAAAUGCGUGAACCUCAAUUUAUAAUUCAUUUUGUACCUUAUUGUAAAUUUGUUGUAAAUUCUUCUUAAAGAAAACCAUUAUCAUGUUUUGUCUACUGUUGUUAAUCUGCCUGGAGCUUAACAGUUAUUUUCUGAGUUGGUAAACUGUUUUACGUUUUUAUAUAAAGAUAAAAUGGAAAGGUUUUUCUUU